UCUUUUUAUUGUGUGCCAGCAGCCGCGGUAAUACGUAUGGUGCAAGCGUUAUCCGGAUUUACUGGGUGUAAAGGGUGCGUAGGUGGUGAGACAAGUCUGAAGUGAAAAUCCGGGGCUUAACCCCGGAACUGCUUUGGAAACUGCCUGACUAGAGUACAGGAGAGGUAAGUGGAAUUCCUAGUGUAGCGGUGAAAUGCGUAGAUAUUAGGAGGAACACCAGUGGCGAAGGCGACUUACUGGACUGCUACUGACACUGAGGCACGAAAGCGUGGGGAGCAAACAGG
This 284-nucleotide ribosomal RNA is filed under the name Coprococcus eutactus. RNAcentral describes it as "partial 16S ribosomal RNA". It matches the Rfam family "Bacterial small subunit ribosomal RNA", at positions 493 to 776 of the family's 1533-position model. The record is from RNAcentral. Lineage: Bacteria; Bacillati; Bacillota; Clostridia; Lachnospirales; Lachnospiraceae.